This 414-nucleotide ribosomal RNA is filed under the name uncultured bacterium. RNAcentral's name for it is "bacterial SSU rRNA". It matches the Rfam family "Bacterial small subunit ribosomal RNA", at positions 355 to 767 of the family's 1533-position model. The record is from RNAcentral.
UAAGGAAUAUUGGUCAAUGGACGCAAGUCUGAACCAGCCAUGCCGCGUGAAGGAUGAAGGUCCUCUGGAUUGUAAACUUCUUUUAUCUGGGACGAAAACGGGAUUUUUAUCUCAAUUGACGGUACCAGAGGAAUAAGCACCGGCUAACUCCGUGCCAGCAGCCGCGGUAAUAUGGAGGGUGCGAGCGUUAUCCGGAUUUACUGGGUUUAAAGGGUGCGUAGGUGGGCUUAUAAGUCAGUGGUGAAAUCUCCGAGCUUAACUUGGAAACUGCCGUUGAUACUAUAGGUCUUGAAUUAUCUGGAGGUAAGCGGAAUAUGUCAUGUAGCGGUGAAAUGCUUAGAUAUGACAUAGAACACCAAUUGCGAAGGCAGCUUACUACAUAUAAAUUGACGCUGAGGCACGAAAGCGUGGGGA